Long non-coding RNA from Folsomia candida, 824 nucleotides. RefSeq lists it as uncharacterized. NCBI's taxonomy places the organism in Eukaryota, Metazoa, Arthropoda, Collembola, Entomobryomorpha, Isotomidae. The transcript has 2 exons. The record is from RefSeq and is a predicted model, not a curated record.
CCAUAUGAUAUUCAAGAGCAAAGAACCAAUUCAUUUCUAAAAUGGACAUCACAGUUUUAACAAUUUCUGGAUUUGGACUAAUUCUUAUCAUUGCUAUACUAAUUUACGUUAAGUGGUUAUGUAACAGUAAGGGCGGACAAAGCCAAAAGAAUACUGGAUUUGACUCAACCAACGUCGUCAUUGAAGUUUCAAUUCUAAACGAUCCAAUCCACACAGAAAAUUCCUUAGAAACUGGAAGAUCGCAGAACGACCCGGUCCCAAAUUACGAUUCAGUAAUAUUUACUAAUAGAGGAAAAUCCUCACUCAUUUUUGACGAGACCUCUCCACCUCCAAGUUAUUCAGAAUGUGUACACAAUAAGUUGAACACAUGACAGAUCUUGGCCUUUGUGCCAUGCUAAUAGUAUUAAUUUGAUUAAUUUGAUUGAUUAAUUUAUGUAUUUAUUCUGUCGACAUAUUCAAUUUUCCAACCAGUUGAGUUGAGUUGCAUCAGUAAUAUUGUAUGCAACAAGUAUUGUAUGCAACAAGUAUUGUAUGUAAUAUUGUAUGCGUAAUUGUAAAUAAUUACAUAGAUGCGAAAAAAAGAUAAAUGCAAAAAUUUAACCAUAUGUUAAUUAAGGCAUCUUAUGUACAAUUAGUAAAAUUAUUAAUGCAACUGUGCAGAAUUUUUAUUGAUCAAUUUCAAACGGGUUGCUGUGGUGCUGGAACAGCUUAAAACAUCACUCUGAGCUAUUUACAUUCACAUAAACUAUGCAGUUUAACUGUAUCAGAAGCGGAACAAAUAAAUCCAAAAUUUUCCGGAAUAAUUUUAAUCUACCUGAAUAAAA